Molecule: small RNA, 147 nt
Filed under: Callithrix jacchus (white-tufted-ear marmoset)
Lineage: Eukaryota; Metazoa; Chordata; Mammalia; Primates; Cebidae
Description: Metazoan signal recognition particle RNA (ENSCJAG00000077600.1)
Source: Rfam by way of RNAcentral
GCCAGGCGUGGUGGUGCACGUCUGUAAUCCCAGCUACUAGGAGGCUGAGGCAGGAGAAUCGCUUGAACCUGGGAGGCAGAGGUUGCAGUGAGCUGAGACUGUGCCACUGCACUCCAGCCCGGGAGAUGGAGUGAGACUCUGUCUCAA